GACGAACGCUGGCGGCGUGCUUAACACAUGCAAGUCGAACGGAAAGGCCCUGCUUUUGUGGGGUGCUCGAGUGGCGAACGGGGGAGUAACACGUGAGUAACCUGCCCUUGACUUUGGGAUAACUUCAGGAAACUGGGGCUAAUACCGGAUAGGAGAUCCUGCUGCAUUGUGGGGGUUGGAAAGUUUCGGCGGUUGGGGAUGGACUCGCGGCUUAUCAGCUUGUUGGUGGGGUAGUGGCUUACCAAGGCUUUGACGGGUAGCCGGCCUGAGAGGGUGACCGGCCACAUUGGGACUGAGAGACGGCCCAGACUCCUACGGGAGGCAGCAGUGGGGAGUAUUGCACAAUGGGCGGAAGCCUGAUGCAGCAACGCCGCGUGCGGGAUGACGGCCUUCGGGUUGUAAACCGCUUUCGCCUGUGACGAAGCGUGAGUGACGGUAAUGGGUAAAGAAGCACCGGCUAACUACGUG
Molecule: ribosomal RNA, 468 nt
Filed under: uncultured bacterium
Lineage: Bacteria
Description: partial 16S ribosomal RNA
Rfam family: Bacterial small subunit ribosomal RNA
Source: RNAcentral